Molecule: ribosomal RNA, 712 nt
Filed under: uncultured bacterium
Lineage: Bacteria
Description: bacterial SSU rRNA
Rfam family: Bacterial small subunit ribosomal RNA
Source: RNAcentral
AACGCUGGCGGCAUGCCUUACACAUGCAAGUCGAACGGCAGCACGGGGGCAACCCUGGUGGCGAGUGGCGAACGGGUGAGUAAUGCAUCGGAACGUGCCCAGUAGUGGGGGAUAGCCCGGCGAAAGCCGGAUUAAUACCGCAUACGUACUGAGGUAGAAAGCGGGGGACCGAAAGGCCUCGCGCUAUUGGAGCGGCCGAUGUCGGAUUAGCUUGUUGGUGGGGUAAUGGCCUACCAAGGCGACGAUCCGUAACUGGUCUGAGAGGACGACCAGUCACACUGGGACUGAGACACGGCCCAGACUCCUACGGGAGGCAGCAGUGGGGAAUUUUGGACAAUGGGCGCAAGCCUGAUCCAGCAAUGCCGCGUGUGUGAAGAAGGCCUUCGGGUUGUAAAGCACUUUUGUCCGGAAAGAAAUCCGUCUGGCUAAUACCCGGACGGGAUGACGGUACCGGAAGAAUAAGCACCGGCUAACUACGUGCCAGCAGCCGCGGUAAUACGUAGGGUGCGAGCGUUAAUCGGAAUUACUGGGCGUAAAGCGUGCGCAGGCGGCUUUGUAAGACAGAUGUGAAAUCCCCGGGCUCAACCUGGGAACUGCAUUUGUGACUGCAAGGCUAGAGUGCGUCAGAGGGAGGUGGAAUUCCGCGUGUAGCAGUGAAAUGCGUAGAGAUGCGGAGGAACACCGAUGGCGAAGGCAGCCUCCUGGGAUGACC